UAUUAAACAUCCAACAGCCAAUCAGAGGAGAAUUAAACUUCAGCCAAUCAGAGGCAGACCCUGCCUGAAAACAGGAAGUAGAAAAACUCAACAGGUCUAGAUUAUUUCUGAGCUUCCAAGUGGAACCGGAUCGGUUCAGGAACCGGACCAGAACCCGGCUGCUUCCUCUGGGAACUGUAAACAGUAAAGCUGCUGGUUUCCAGUAAAGCUGCUGGUUUCCAGUAUUUAGAGAUGAAACAUGUUUCCAGACCUACCAUGUCCAGAGGUUUGAAGACGUGGUGCACCAGCUCCUCAGACGACGGACUGGCGAUGGUGGAUUUCAGCCGAGCCUGGAGGGAAAACCACAGCCGGUCGUUACAUCUGGAGGCUCGGCAGCCGAUAAACGAUCAUCUGGAGGCCAGUGAACAAACCAGUUAUUCCCUCUGUGAGGGGAAGCUUUUAAUAUGAAAAGAAUCAGGCGGCGUUUACCUUCAGCCGUCUGCUUCUUGCUUUUCUUCUUCUUCUUCU
Molecule: long non-coding RNA, 507 nt
Organism: Gambusia affinis (western mosquitofish)
Lineage: Eukaryota; Metazoa; Chordata; Actinopteri; Cyprinodontiformes; Poeciliidae
Exons: 3
Source: RefSeq, a predicted model, not a curated record